RNAcentral lists this ribosomal RNA (798 nucleotides) under uncultured bacterium. RNAcentral describes it as "bacterial SSU rRNA". It matches the Rfam family "Bacterial small subunit ribosomal RNA", at positions 8 to 796 of the family's 1533-position model. The record is from RNAcentral.
AGAGUUUGAUCCUGGCUCAGAACGAACGCUGGCGGCGUGCCUAACACAUGCAAGUCGAACGCGAAAUUUUUCUUCGGAAAGAAAGUAGAGUGGCGCACGGGUGAGUAACGCGUAAGUUAUCUACCUCGGCAUCUGGAAUAACUCACCGAAAGGUGUGCUAAUACCGGAUACGUUGAGUAAUCAAGAAAGGUGGCCUCUGAAUAUGCUACUGUGUUGAGGUGAGCUUGCGUACCAUUAGCUAGUUGGUAGGGUAAUGGCCUACCAAGGCGACGAUGGUUAGCGGGUCUGAGAGGAUGAUCCGCCACACUGGAACUGGAACACGGACCAGGCCCCUACGGGAGGCAGCAGUGGGGAAUUUUGCGCAAUGGGCGAAAGCCUGACGCAGCAACGCCGCGUGAGUGAUGAAGGCCUUCGGGUCGUAAAGCUCUGUCAGUGGGGAAGAACCGCCGGGUGGUUAAUACCUGCCUGGUCUGACGGUACCCACAAAGGAAGCACCGGCUAACUCCGUGCCAGCAGCCGCGGUAAUACGGAGGGUGCAAGCGUUGUUCGGAAUUAUUGGGCGUAAAGCGCGUGUAGGCGGUUUGUUAAGUCUGGUGUGAAAGCCCUGGGCUCAACCUGGGAAGUGCAUUGGGUACUGGCAAACUUGAGUACGGGAGAGGAUAGUGGAAUUUCGAGUGUAGGGGUGAAAUCCGUAGAUAUUCGAAGGAACACCGGUGGCGAAGGCGGCUAUCUGGACCGAUACUGACGCUGAGACGCGAAAGCGUGGGUAGCAAACAGGAUUAGAUACCCUGGUAGUCC